CAAUAGCGUAUAUUAAAGUUGUUGCAGUUAAAACGCUCGUAGUCGGAUUUCGGGGCGGGUCCGCCGGUCUGCCGAUGGGUACGCACUGGCGGGCGCGUCCUUUCCUUCCGGAGACUGGCCCUACUCUUAGCUGAGCGGGGUCGGGAGUCGGAUCGUUUACUUUGAAAAAAUCAGAGUGUUUCAAGCAGGCAGCUCGCUCUUGCAUGGAUUAGCAUGGGAUAAUGAAAUAGGACUUUGGUGCUAUUUUGUUGGUUUCGAACACCGAAGUAAUGAUUAACAGGGACAGUCAGGGGCACUCGUAUUCCGCCGAGAGAGGUGAAAUUCUCAGACCAGCGGAAGACGAACCACUGCGAAANCANNNGCCAGGGAUGUUUUCACNGA
RNAcentral lists this ribosomal RNA (381 nucleotides) under uncultured eukaryote. RNAcentral's name for it is "partial 18S ribosomal RNA". It matches the Rfam family "Eukaryotic small subunit ribosomal RNA", at positions 592 to 976 of the family's 1831-position model. The record is from RNAcentral.